AGCUUGCUCUUAUGAUUAGUGGCGCACGGGUGAGUAAUAGUAUAGGUAAUGUACCCUUAGUCUGGGAUAGCACUGAAACGGUGAUUAAUACCGGAUGCUCCUUUCAUUUCAAGAUGAAUCGGGAAAGUUUUCGCUAAGAGAUCGGCCUAUAUCCUAUCAGCUAGUUGGUGAGGUAAUGGCUCACCAAGGCAAUGACAGGUAGCGGGUUUGAGAGGAUGAUCCGCCACACUGGUACUGAGACACGGACCAGACUCC
This 255-nucleotide ribosomal RNA is filed under the name unidentified marine bacterioplankton. Its description in RNAcentral is "partial 16S ribosomal RNA". It matches the Rfam family "Bacterial small subunit ribosomal RNA", at positions 77 to 339 of the family's 1533-position model. The record is from RNAcentral.